RNAcentral lists this unclassified non-coding RNA (1694 nucleotides) under Hevea brasiliensis (rubber tree). Lineage: Eukaryota; Viridiplantae; Streptophyta; Magnoliopsida; Malpighiales; Euphorbiaceae. The record is from RNAcentral.
CCUCUUUCUCUCUCUCUCUCUUUCCCAGCCAGCAUCAAACACCCAUCAAUGAACAUGUCUGCUCAUCUCUUUCCUUCUCUUUUAUAUGCUUAUGGUGAGAGCAAAAGGACAAGAGAUCCAGUCUGUUUUGUCUUGGUUUCUCUUCCUCAUAACCAUAAUCAUUCUUUCUUCCGUUAAUAUCCCACUUUCUUUCUCUUUAAACCAGCUUUUUAAGUACAGUUUUUGAAGCAGCAGACAACAAAUCAUUCCAAACUCACUGUUUGAUAUUCUUCUUGUCUAUUUCUAAGUGUGUGAUUUCUAUAAAGAGAGAUAUGGACAAAUGGGAGAAACCAGUAAGAGAAGAUCGCUUUCGACGCAACCAUAGGGAACCUUCUUUCUCUUCCACUCUUCUUGAUGCAAUUUACCGUUCCAUAGAUGAAUCCAAAGAUAAAGGAGAGGAAGAGCUGAUUUUCUACAGAGAAACUAUGAGGAAGAAGCAUGGAAAUGGUUUCAAAGAAGUUGGUAAAGAAGAAAGGAUUGCAACUCUGCAAAAAGCAUGCAUGAUAGACAAAUGGAUGGAGGAAAAAGUAAGCUAUGAAAAGGUUGCAGUUCGGAGAAAAUCCAUGGCAGAUUUUGACAAAAAUACUCGAAAAGAUUUCAAUCCUAAACCACCUCCUGUUUUACUCAACUCCAGCUCUAGUUCCUCAGAAUCUAGCUGUGGUGGUGGGUUUUCUUCCUCAGAAUCUGAAUCUACUUAUGGUCUCACCUCAUCAAGAUCAUCAUCAACUUACGCCAUGCAAAGGCCUAAGCCUAUUCGAACCAGCGUUUCUGCGCGGCCGGAGAGAUACGAAAGACCUGCAGAUGAAUUAAUUGCUAUGUAUCAUCAUGAGAGAAAUUAUUCAAAUUAUGCGCCAACACAAAAGCCAAAACACGAAGGCAGCUUUGUGAAGACGAAAUCCAGAGCCUUAAAAAUUUAUGGUGAUCUCAAGAAGGUAAAGCAGCCUAUUUCACCUGGAGGUCGGCUUGCAAGCUUUCUCAACUCUCUUUUCACUUCGGGAAAUGCUAAGAAAGCCAAGAUUUCAUCUUCGUCGUCGGGGUAUGAGGAAAGAAAGAUAAAGUCUGAGCAGACAUCGACAUGCUCUUCAGCUUCUUCAUUUUCAAGGUCUUGCUUAAGCAAGACCCCUUCCUCUAGAGUGAAUAAAUUGAGCAAUGGAACAAAAAGGUCAGUAAGGUUUUACCCAGUUAGUGUGAUUGUGGAUGAGGAUUCUAGACCUUGUGGACAGAAAAUUCUCUAUGGAAAUCAUGAAGAGACUCUAGUGGCAGUCACUGCUACUAGAAAUCUCACAAAUGAAGAGCUCAAGUUCCAUGUCAUGAACGAAAGUCGCAGAGUUGAGGAAGCUGCAACGGAUCUCUUAAAGAAUUAUCAGAAGAAGAAGCAAGAGGAGUUUUCUGCGGGAGAUCAUCUUUGCAAUGGCAAUGGAGAAUCUAGUGAUGAUGAAGAAGAUGCAGCAAGUUGUGCAAGUUCUGAUUUGUUUGAAUUGGAUAAUCUUUCUGCUAUUGGGAUUGAAAGGUAUCGUGAAGAAUUGCCUGUGUAUGAAACAACCCAUCUUGAUAAAAAUCGAGCCAUUGCAAAUGGCUUAAUUCUGUAAUUCCCAGAAAAAAAAAAAAAAUAAUUAUCUUUAUUAAUGAAUUGUGCGGGGGUUUACAUCAGAGAA